This 149-nucleotide transfer RNA is filed under the name Oligoflexia bacterium. Its description in RNAcentral is "tRNA-Met". The record is from RNAcentral. Lineage: Bacteria; Pseudomonadati; Bdellovibrionota; Oligoflexia.
CGCGUGGUGGAGCAGCCCGGUAGCUCGUUGGGCUCAUAACCCAAAGGUCGUAGGUUCGGUGAAAAUACCACGAAGGUAUUUUCACACGAGCGAAGCGAGCCUGAAAGGCGCUGGGCAGGAGCCCAGCGUAAAUCCUGCCCCCGCUACCA